This 373-nucleotide ribosomal RNA is filed under the name uncultured Glomeromycotina. Its description in RNAcentral is "LSU rRNA". The record is from RNAcentral. Lineage: Eukaryota; Fungi; Glomeromycota.
UUGAAAGGGAAACGAUUGAAGUCAGUCGUUCCUUCGGGUAAUCAGCCUUUCGGGUGCGAUUCUGUGGAGUUUGAGGAGCUUAACACCUUCAUGCUUUGCAUAUUCGUGCUCUUGGGUGUACUUGCCCGUGUGGUUGGUUAACAUCAAUUUUGGUGGUCAUAAAAUGACUGGAGGAAAGUAGCUUCGAUCUCGUAUUGAAGUGUUAUAGCCUUCGGUAGAUGUGAUGAUCGAGAUUGAGGAUUGCAACGGAUACCCUUCGGGGCUACCUGUCUGAUCUCUGAUCGUUGCUCUGGUGCCGAAAGCUUGCUUACGGUUAUCAAAGUCGAUGGUCAAUAGGUUAGAAUGGGUUAAAUUCGUUAAGGAUGUUGACGUA